RNAcentral lists this long non-coding RNA (2214 nucleotides) under Phaseolus vulgaris (common bean). RNAcentral's name for it is "long non-coding RNA (PVUL_LNC003217)". Lineage: Eukaryota; Viridiplantae; Streptophyta; Magnoliopsida; Fabales; Fabaceae. The record is from RNAcentral.
UUAUAAAAUAGUUAUAAAAUAAACAAUUGAAGUAGGGAGAAAAUAAUUCAGUUCAUCUUGGUUUCAUUCUUUUUUUUGGAGUGAUUUUGAAAACAUGUGAGGUUUGGUGCGAAAUUGAAAACGAAAUCGAAAUUGGAAUUGGAGAAACGCUUCAUAUUCAAUUGCCAACGAUGCCGGAGUUUCAGUGGAACGGUGUUGACUGGCAAACGCUUUCGCGAUUUUCGGCGAACAGAAAACAGCAAACGAUGAACAGCGGUGAGGUUUGUUCAUCUUUAAACGUGUAAACACGAAGCUGAUCGGAACAGUUUCGGAGACGAGAUUAAUCGGUGUUGUUUCGUUGUUCUUCGUUGAAGCAUUGAAGCAAUUUUGAGGGAGGCAGAAUUAUUUCAUUCAGUGCAAUUUUCUCGGCGUAAUUAUUCAUUGGAGAAACGGUGCGGUGUUGAAUUGCGAACGGAAGUGGCGUUCUCCGGCAAAUUUCUGGCGAAGCAUUGGAGAAGAUGACCGGAAUAGAUCUUGAAUUCGAAAUCGUUCAACAGUGAUGUUGAUCGGGUUUAAUUUGAUGAAGCAAAGCAGUGGCGAAUGUGAAUCGCGAUUUGAAAGGCGCUGAAGAAUUGUUUAUGCGUGAUUGAUAGGUGCAAUUCAUACAUGUGAAGAAUCAGAUGAAUUCGACAUUACACUGUGAGUCCGUAAGUUUAAUUCAUUUGGUGUUGUUGAUGUUGUUUGGGAAAAAAUUCUGAUUAGAAUCAAUUAUUGUAUUUUCUGGAAAUUAAAAUUUCUUUUGAAGCUUUUUAACAAACAACUUAUAUGCUUUUGUUUGGUAUAUUCUGUGUGCAUAGCAAUUGAAGUUGUAUUGCACUUAAUCUAUUUGACGGUGCAGCUUAAUAUCAGUAAAAGAGUGAAAUCCAGUGAAGUAUUUUUUCUUUUCAUCGAACAGUUUCAGUGCAUUAAUUUGAAUCAAGCAGCUCAGGGAAAUUUAAACAGAACUCGGUCAAGGUGCAGAAUUCAUUGCAAAUUCUGGAAUUGCUAUAAUUAAUUUGCGUGUGAAAAUUGAGAAAUUAGUUUUUCAAGAAGAUAACGUGGUGAUUGAUUAGUGAAACUUGGUGAAUACGUGAUUUGACUAUUUGAUGCAGUGAUUCAAUUUCUCAACAAUUUUAGUGGAAAAGGUUGAGCGUGAGAAUUGGUGUACUCAAGCAUGAAAAAGUGAUAUGAGAGAGAUAUACUUGAUUGGUGAGAAUUGGAGUGCAGAGAAGUUCAUUGAAAAAUCUACUAAAUUUCAUUCCUAUAAAUUCUACUAGUGGGACCCACACCAUUUACAUUUCUUUGGUUUUAGUUUGUUGGAGCUGCCACGGUGCUGUGCAAACGAUGGGUGCAAAUUAGCUUUAAUUUCUAAAGGAAUUUCUGGUAACUGUCGUGAAUUGGUAAAAAGAAAUUCAAUUAGCAAAUUGAUAGUUCUAGUGGGGUCCAACAGAUUAUGGCUAUUCAUUGUAUGUAUGAAUUGGUAAUGAUUUUUGGUUCUAAGUGCAGAAAUUGCAUCAUUUGGUUAAAGAAAAUCAUUUUUUAGUUUCUGUUUUUUUAAUUCAAUUCAAUUUAGUGUCAUUUUCUAGGUAAUUCUUUUCAAGUGAUUAUUUUCUUUAUAAUUUUUAGUUUCUUGUUUUAAUUUUUGGAUAAUUUUUGAGUUUGUUUCAUUUCUAAUAUAUUGAAUUUAGGUUUCUUAAUUUUUGAUUUUUUAUUUAUUUUAAGUAUUAUUGACCUUUUGAGAUGAAAAUUAUUUUUUUAGUGUAAUAUUUGAAAAAUGUUGACUAACAUUAUUAGGUAGCAUCUUGGAAAAGAAAAAUAUAAAGUUAAGGAUGACUACUCUCUAGAUAACAAACAAGUAGAGGUUCAAAAGGAGGAGUGAUAGACAAUUGAGAGGGAGAUUUGACAAGCUACAGAGAUCAAACAUCAAAUUUUUUGUUUUUCAUAUUAUCAUGAAACCUUUGUUUGUGUUAAAAAUUUAACUCUUGUUUAUUUUAUUUUUGUUUGGGAAAAUGCUUUCAAAGCAAUCUCAUUAAGAACUUUGUGAUAGCAAGUGAUUAGUCCUGUGAAAAUGUGUCAAGAGACUCAAAGUGUCAGUUGCAUUUUCACUUAGAAAUUUCAUUUAGAUUUUCUUGUUUUACUUUACUUUCUUCUUGCUAAUUUAUUGUUUUUCUUUUAUUAGGUCUUCGUGAUAUCUAG